UCCAGACAGUAGAUGGCACAAGUUUAAAAACAAUAGUCUAACCCAGAGCCAUAGAGCUAAAAAGAGUCGCGACACUCCCAUUGGACUCCGUUGUAGGCUGUUUGCCGCCCACUUCCGGGGUAUGCAGCCUCGCAUAGUUCCAAAAAGCCAUUCUAUGGCGUCGGACAUCAUUCACUUCCAUUGCUGACUCUCGAGUAACUUCUGAGAUCUUGCUGGACCAGCAGUAUCGUUGUUGUGGCCAUCACAGGUUUCAGUGGAGCCCCCCCCCC
Molecule: long non-coding RNA, 269 nt
Organism: Fundulus heteroclitus (mummichog)
Lineage: Eukaryota; Metazoa; Chordata; Actinopteri; Cyprinodontiformes; Fundulidae
Exons: 2
Source: RefSeq, a predicted model, not a curated record